AGAGUUUGAUCCUGGCUCAGGACGAACGCUGGCGGCGUGCUUAACACAUGCAAGUCGAACGGGGAUUAUUGGGAUGAGAGCUUCGGCAGGAUUUCCGGUAAUUCUAGUGGCGGACGGGUGAGUAACGCGUGAGCAACCUGUCCCAGACAGGGGGAUAACACUUGGAAACAGGUGCUAAUACCGCAUGAGACCACGGUGAGACAUCUCACUGAGGUAAAAGGUGUAAACCGGUUUGGGGUGGGCUCGCGUCCGAUUAGAUAGUUGGUGAGGUAACGGCCCACCAAGUCGACGAUCGGUAGCCGACCUGAGAGGGUGAUCGGCCACAUUGGAACUGAGAGACGGUCCAAACUCCUACGGGAGGCAGCAGUGGGGAAUAUUGGGCAAUGGGCGAAAGCCUGACCCAGCAACGCCGCGUGAGUGAAGAAGGCCUUCGGGUUGUAAAGCUCUGUUGUGGAUGACGAAGAGCGUGACGGUAGUCCACAAGGAAGCCCCGGCUAACUACGUGCCAGCAGCCGCGGUAAUACGUAGGGGGCGAGCGUUGUCCGGAAUGACUGGGCGUAAAGGGCGUGUAGGCGGCUCUUUAAGUCUGGAGUGAAAGUCCUGUAUUUAAUAUGGGAAUUUCUUUGGAUACUGGAGAGCUUGAGUGCAGGAGAGGGUAUCGGAAUUCCCGGUGUAGCGGUGAAAUGCGUAGAGAUCGGGAGGAACACCAGUGGCGAAGGCGGGUAACUGGACUGCAACUGACGCUGAGGCGCGAAAGUGUGGGGAGCAAACAGGAUUAGAUACCCUGGUAGUCCACACUGUAAACGAUGAAUGCUAGGUGUAGGGGGUAUCGACCCCUUCUGUGCCGCAGUAAACACA
RNAcentral lists this ribosomal RNA (858 nucleotides) under uncultured Fibrobacter sp. RNAcentral's name for it is "bacterial SSU rRNA". It matches the Rfam family "Bacterial small subunit ribosomal RNA", at positions 8 to 859 of the family's 1533-position model. Lineage: Bacteria; Pseudomonadati; Fibrobacterota; Fibrobacteria; Fibrobacterales; Fibrobacteraceae. The record is from RNAcentral.